CGAACGGAGUACUUCGGUACUUAGUGGCGGACGGGUGAGUAACGCGUGAGGAUCUGCCCUCAGGAGGGGGACAACGACUGGAGACGGUCGCUAAUACCCCAUAUGCCGAGAGGUGAAAUGUUUUUUCGCCUGAGGAUGAGCUCGCGUCAGAUUAGCUAGUUGGUGGGGUAACGGCCUACCAAGGCGACGAUCUGUAGCUGGUCUGAGAGGAUGAUCAGCCACACUGGGACUGAGACACGGCCCAGACUCCUACGGGAAGCAGCAGUGGGGAAUUUUCCGCAAUGGGCGAAAGCCUGACGGAGCAAGACCGCGUGAGGGAUGACGGCCUAAUGGUUGUAAACCUCUUUUCUCUGGGAAGAUAAUGACGGUACCAGAGGAAUAAGCCUCGGCUAACUCCGUGCCAGCAGCCGCGGUAAUACGGAGGAGGCAAGCGUUAUCCGGAAUUAUUGGGCGUAAAGCGUCCGUAGGUGGUUAAUCAAGUCAGCUGUUAAAGAGCGGAGCUUAACUCCGUUAGGGCGGUUGAAACUGAUUGACUAGAGUUUGGUAGGGGUCGAGGGAAUUCCCAGUGUAGCGGUGAAAUGCGUAGAUAUUGGGAAGAACACCGGUGGCGAAAGCGCUCGACUGGGCCUGAACUGACACUGAGGGACGAAAGCUAGGGGAGCGAAAGGGAUUAGAUACCCCUGUAGUCCUAGCCGUAAACGAUGGAUACUAGGUGUUGCUCGUUAUCGACCCGAGCCGUGCCGAAGC
This 747-nucleotide ribosomal RNA is filed under the name cyanobacterium enrichment culture clone 3_RT_3.5.1_A04-T7. Its description in RNAcentral is "bacterial SSU rRNA". It matches the Rfam family "Bacterial small subunit ribosomal RNA", at positions 63 to 852 of the family's 1533-position model. Lineage: Bacteria; Bacillati; Cyanobacteriota. The record is from RNAcentral.